Molecule: long non-coding RNA, 1817 nt
Organism: Arabidopsis lyrata subsp. lyrata
Lineage: Eukaryota; Viridiplantae; Streptophyta; Magnoliopsida; Brassicales; Brassicaceae
Exons: 2
Source: RefSeq, a predicted model, not a curated record
CCGUAAGUGUGAUAUAUACCAUAUUUGUCAUGCAGAUCCCAAAUUUUCUGAAAACGGCUUCAGGUUUUUCGAUCUUCAUCUCUCAAUUCUUAUAUCACCAGUUUCUUAAUGAAAAGUUGUCAUAUACGUCUAAAUCAUAGAUCAAUUCCCUUCAAAACUAAAGAUAAAUGGGAUGCAAAUAUUUACCUCAACAAAAAAUAUCAAUGGUAGAGAAUUUAAGAGAUACAUAAGAAGUGAGUAACAGAGCGCCAGAAACAGUAUUAGAGAUCCUGAAACCGUGAAAGUAUUAAUUAAAUGAGAGUGACAUGGUUUACGUAAACCAGAAUCGUUAGAUUUAAUUGAUGUAAACCGAGUCAAAGCCUAUAUAUAAAGCAGAGUCUUGGAACAUCAACUAUCCUGUGUUUUAUCUGUGGACAACCAAAAUAAGUCGGUUUGACAAAUUAGGGAUCAAAAAUCAAACUAGUAAAGGCCCAUUGGAAAACGGGAACACGAGUUUCGUUGGAUAAAUAGAAUAGUAGCCUAGGGUUCUUCGGUUGUCACGAGGAAUUUCCGUUUCCUUGUAUUUCAAGCUAGCGUUAGACCUCCACAAGUCGUUCGUUGUUCUCCGCUUCUUAUUUCAAACCCUAAGUACUCAUUCGCGUUACCCACUCCUCUUCUUUUCUUUGAACCUCAAGGUUUUAAAGAGAAAGACUUUGUUGCAUAAUGACACCAACACAUGAUUUGUACCACAGCUUGCCAUAUUGAACUGAGACCAACAGAACACAUUUGACGUUUAUGAACAGAGACUAUAAUGACCUUUCUGUGAUAGCCUCUUCAUAGUAUUCAUGUGACAGCCUCUUCAUAUGAUCCAUGAUUGCAUUGCAGGCCUGAACCCUUUUUAACCCCCAAAAAUAUUAAUCACCCACUUGAAAACCAAGCUAGGUUCUGGAAGUUUACUCCACCACCAAAUCGUUAAGUUUCUCAUUUGUUGGAAGAAUUGGAAUGAGAACAAAUCGAUCUUCAUCUCUCAAUUCUCAUAUCACCAGUUUCUUAAUGAAAAGUUGUCAUAUACGUCUAAAUCAUAGAUCAAUUCCCUUCAAAACUAAAGAUAAAUGGGAUGCAAAUAUUUACCUCAACAAAAAAUAUCAAUGGUAGAGAAUUUAAGAGAUACAUAAGAAGUGAGUAACAGAGCGCCAGAAACAGUAUUAGAGAUCCUGAAACCGUGAAAGUAUUAAUUAAAUGAGAGUGACAUGGUUUACGUAAACCAGAAUCGUUAGAUUUAAUUGAUGUAAACCGAGUCAAAGCCUCUAUAUAAAGCAGAGUCUUGGAACAUCAACAUCAAUUUAAGUCGGUCUUACAAAUAAUAAUGGAUCAAAAUCAAAUUAGUAGAGGCCCAUUGGAGAAUGGGAACACGAGUUUCAUUCGAUAAAUACUAGCAUAGGGUUCUUCGGUUGUCACGAGGGUGUAUUUUCUGUUUCCUUGUAUUCCAAGCGUUAGACCUCCACAAGUCGUUUGUUGUUCUCCGCUUCUUCUAAACGCCACGACGGUUCUUGCGACGGCUGAGUGGUUGUAGGAAAACUAUGUCAAUCUCUGAGAAGCCUCUAGAGAGCAUAGGAUGGAUCGAGAAAACGGCAUAUGUGGUUGCACUAAAGGGGCCGGAGGUUGAGAAGGCGAUCAACAUAUACCCGUUAUUAUAAAUAUGAAUUAUUUACCAUUUAGCAAAUUGAAUAAAAGAAAUGAUUCAUACACAAAAGAACAGACAAUUACGACUUAGCAAUUCUAAUCGAUAUUAACAAAUACAAAAAAAAAUUAUGUUGAAAUUGGCUAACGGUUAUAUA